RNAcentral lists this ribosomal RNA (464 nucleotides) under uncultured bacterium. RNAcentral's name for it is "partial 16S ribosomal RNA". It matches the Rfam family "Bacterial small subunit ribosomal RNA", at positions 338 to 795 of the family's 1533-position model. The record is from RNAcentral.
CCUACGGGAGGCAGCAGUGGGGAAUAUUGCUCAAUGGGCGAAAGCCUGACGCAGCGACGCCGCGUGAGGGAUGAAGGUCUUCGGAUCGUAAACCUCUGUCAGCAGGGAAGAACGGUCACUGUGCUAAUCAGCAGUGAAUUUACGGUACCUGGGGAGGAAGCUUCGGCUGACUCCGUGCCAGCAGCCGCGGUAAUACGUAGGGAGCGAGCGUUGUCCGGAAUUACUGGGUGUAAAGGGAGCGUAGGCGGGACUGCAAGUUGGGUGUCAAAUCUACCGGCUCAACCGGUAGCCGCACUCAAAACUGCAGUUCUUGAGUGAAGUAGAGGCAGGCGGAAUUCCUAGUGUAGCGGUGAAAUGCGUAGAUAUUAGGAGGAACACCAGUGGCGAAGGCGGCCUGCUAGGCUUUUACUGACGCUGAGGCUCGAAAGUGUGGGGAGCAAACAGGAUUAGAUACCCGGGUAGUC